This is a long non-coding RNA of Syngnathus typhle (broad-nosed pipefish), 3706 nucleotides long. RefSeq lists it as uncharacterized. The record is from RefSeq and is a predicted model, not a curated record. NCBI's taxonomy places the organism in Eukaryota, Metazoa, Chordata, Actinopteri, Syngnathiformes, Syngnathidae. The transcript has 4 exons.
CGAUCAUCUAGUCACAGCCAGCAGGAAGGAAGUGACUCAAAAUCGCGCCUCAAAGCCCCACGUUAUGUCUUUAUAAGGCAAUGGCAGACACACAGACAGAUAGAUAGACAAACUGACAGCAUCUUGGAUUAUUUCGAUUUGGCGUAUAGCAUGAAAGGCUUUGAAAGCAGCGUGAAACACUCACUGGGAAACAGCGCCGGAGUUUCGCUUGCGUCGCACUGGAAAUCAACGGUUGCCGUUUGACACUCACUGAGGGCAUCACACGCUGACAUCAUCACAUCGGGAUUCUGUCACAGAGGCGGCCGAGUCACUUGAUGUGUGAUGUCAUCGCUAACAGUGGAAAGAAGUUAGAAUCCCCAACAAGGGUUCUUUCUGGUUUCAAAUUGGGGUUUCAAAGUCAGGGUUAAGGUUUUACUUUUGUCACGAGCGGAUGGUGGAAAUGGUGCAGGGCAACCAAGCAGCUUGCACCAGGGUUUAUUGGCGGAACUCAAACUAACAGACUCGGUACACUGACAUAACUGACUAACAAAACCAACAACAGGAACCGAACAGAGACAAAAAGACAGGAACCAAAAAACCUCAUGACAGUAACAAACAUCAAUGCUCCGACAGGGAGUGAUACACAGACAGGACUUAAUAUACAAGACAGGUAACAAGAGGCAGGUGAGAAUGAUCGCACUGAUCAUGGGCACACAGGAGUGGUGGGGCGAGCACACAGACACACGGACAAAACUAUGACAACAUGGACGUGACCGGGGACGAGUUGUGACAACUUUUUGGGUUUCUGGGAAUUAAGUUUCCAGACCAGUACUUACUCUUUAGGACUUAUCAAUACUGAUAUUGACUACCUCCUGGUCUCUGCUGGAUGCCAAUAUGGAGCUGCGUGGUGUUGGUGGUCUUCAUUAAAGGUGUCUCCAGAUGGAGAUCCGAAUCAGACUGAUCAAAUCUGGAUCCAAAUCGGAUUGAUAAAAUCUGGAUCCAAACCGGACCUGGAUCAAAUGUCUGACAACGUGAGUGCAAUGCAAUUGCGGCUCAUCUUUCAAAAGAGCUGAAGACACCGACGUAAACAACACACUUGUUAGCUUCUGUAUGAGCUGUAAGGAUUUUAAUGGCAGUGAGGAGACCACCUUGGAUGGUUUUACGGCUUUUUGAAAUAGAACACUCCAAAAAAAAAUACUCAGUUCAAUAGGUCUGUGGGUAUCUCAUGUCCUGGAUUCUCCCGGGUCACCACCAUCCAGUGGCACCGUUCCUUCAAGAUUUUUCGUCUCCACAUCUGUGUCGUCCUCUGUGACAAAUAAGUUCCUCAUGGAGUCGGACAGAGCCUCCCUCAGAUCAUCAUCUGACUCCUCAAAGUUCCUGAAACAUAGGAAGACAUCCGAGUAAACAAAAAGGUUUGGUUUUUCCGUCACCAUGUGUCAACUUACGUGUCAUCAUCGUCCGACCUGGGCUCCAGGCGCUCCUGGUCCAUCUCGACAUCUGAGUCUUUGUCCUGGUCUUCCAUCCCUUCAGGGGCUGAAUGAGAGUAAAGACAACUGAACGUUGCUGCUAGCAACAUAGUUCUCGUUUUUGUCAGGCCGAUUUCUGACCUGCACCCUGCGAGUCCACAGUGGAGCAUGUAAGAUUGGCUUGGGCCAUGGCAUCCAGUAAGGUCUUGGGGGGACCGGAGAUCCACUGCCGACGAGCGACUUCCUCCUCCUUCUCCUCACCUGUGAACGAACAAGGCUCAUUCAAACAAAACAAAUCUAAGAAGGUCUUCACAUCUGUGCUGCACAAACACCUUGUUCUACCAGGAUCGAUUGACCCAUCAAACACCCCUCAGAUGUCACUAAAUCCAUCUUCUUCACUUUCUAUACAAAAAAAAGAAUUAGACUGACAUGGUUGAAGUUCCAGCGUCCCACCAGAGUCCACGUCCAUGUGGACCAGAGCCUCCAUCAGCGUCUCCGGUGGUCCCUGGCUCCAUCCCCUCCUCGCCUUGGCCCAACCCUCGACCUUUAUGUCCUCGCCCUCCUGCAAAUGAACUGUCAGGUUCUGAAGGUCCACCUCCAAUUUUCCCUCCUCCUCUGCUGUCUCUUUGUCUUCCUCCUCCGAGGAAUCCUUUGCGUCGUCUAGACGGAUCUCAAACAUGAUUCCCUUCUGGAAGAUGCCAGAGACAAGUUUGAAACUGGAUGCUUACCAGUAAAGUCUUGAUUGUGAACUAGACCAGCAUGGUUUGUGUUAUGGUGUCCUUCAAAUCACCUGGUUCUUGUGUUCCUUCUUAAGUUCCCUCCUUUGUUUUCGGUUCUCUUCCCUGAUCUUCCUCAAAGCCGCUUCCACGUCCUGCGUUGUUUUAAAACGGUCUAAUAAACAGCUGCCCGAUACAAUUCGAGUAAAGGCGGGCUUUACCUGCACUGGUUGCUCUUGUUUUUCGGUUUGUGUAGUGGAAGGUUGUGCUUCUUUGUCCAGCACAAACGUGUUGUGUUGUUGUGGCGGCUGAUCAACAAAUGCCUACAUCAAUAAACGCAACACAACUGUCUCACAAUUAUGUGUUGCAUUUUCAACAACCUGCUCAAAUAUACACACAUAUAUUCUAACCCAUACCGCCUUUGUUAUUUGUAUCGCAUUUGCUAACGUGUGUGCGUGUGUGCACCUCUGCCUCAGCUCUCAACCUCAUCUGUUUCAUCUCCUGAUGAUAUUGUUGUCGGAUGAGCUGCAGCUGCCUCAAGUACUCCUGCAAACACACACAAACACAAUAAAUGUACAUUUAACUCCUUUACUGCCAACCCAAUUCAUAUCUUUGAUGUCUAUAACCGUCAAUGGCACUGUAUGAGUUAAUUUCUUGCUAGGCUCAAUUCGUCCGAUUUCCCGCAGCUGCAGAUUAUUUACCACCUGUUGGUCCUGUUUCUUGCCAGGAGGUGUGUGCUGCGGCUCACGCGAGUCCAUGUGGCUUUCCGAUCCGUCGGCCGGUCUGCAGCUCUCCGCCGUACUGGGUCGCAGACCCUGACGAGGCGCUAACGUCAUAAAACAAUCCUCGGAUUGAUGAAGCGUGUUGCUCACCAACUGUUUCUCUGCCCUCAGCUUGUAUUGGUUGGCUUCCUGUCUCCUUUGAAGGUAUUCUUCACGAGCUGCGGCCACCCUGAAACCUGGUAAGGUUCGACCGGAGGGACCACGUAGUCUUCACAUGGCUCACUGGGAGGAAGAGGAGGAUGAAGAGCUGGAGGAGGAUAAACGUCCCCCCUGUGGAGGGCAUCCAACCGGGCAAAAUAUUGCUGGUACUGUCCAAUCCUGUACAGGCUGAGGAAGGUGUCCUGCUCUGUGGGGCUGAGUGGACAUCACAAAAACAGACAGCUCAAUAAAUGCCUACAGGAAAAUGUGUUAAGCAAGUCCAAGGUUUGGUUUAAGUUUGUGUAAUUACCGGGUAAUAAGCAAGGCCGCAGACUCUCCACUCUGGCUUGACGGGAAGUUUCUUCACAGCCGCUUUGCAAUUUUUCUUGUUGUCUACAUCACAACAAGCAUGUGUUAUGAUUGUUGAACGUGUGUGAUGCAUGUGUAACAUCUGUGUGUGCGUUACCUGAUGCUGCUUUGCAGGUGUUAGUGCUCGAUGUGUUGCUAUUUUGACGAAACUCCUGUGCACACGAACACACACACACACAAAUCAUACACCAGCACAAUGGUGUCAAAAGUGUGUGAAUAGUUAGUGAAGGCUGUGAAUAAAAGCGGUCAAAGAAAA